This 508-nucleotide ribosomal RNA is filed under the name Bradysia arcula. Its description in RNAcentral is "partial small subunit ribosomal RNA". Lineage: Eukaryota; Metazoa; Arthropoda; Insecta; Diptera; Sciaridae. The record is from RNAcentral.
GUCUUUUUGUAAUUAAAUUUAAAGUUUAACCUGCCCAUUGAUAAUUUAAAAGGCUGCGGUAUAUUGACCGUACAAAGGUAGCAUAAUCAUUAGCUUUUUAAUUGAAAGCUUGUAUGAAUGGUUGAAUGAGAAAUUAACUUUUUUUUUUAAAAAUAUGAAUUUUACUUUUUAGUUAAAAGGCUAAAAUUAAUAUAAAAGACGAGAAGACCCUAUAGAGUUUAAUAAUAUAUUUAUUUUAUUAUAAAGGAUUAUUAAAAUUAAUAUAAAAAAAAUUAUUUUAUUGGGGUGAUAGUAAAAUUUAAUUAACUUUUAUUUAUUUUUAAACAUUAAUAUAUGAUUUAUUUGAUCCAAUUUUAUUGAUUAAAAAAUUAAAUUACCUUAGGGAUAACAGCGUAAUUUUUUUUUAAGUUCUUAUUAAUAAAAUAUUUUGCGACCUCGAUGUUGGAUUAAAAUUAAACUUUAGGUGCAGCAGCUUAAAAUUUUAAGUCUGUUCAACUUUUAAAUUCUU